GACGAACGCUGGCGGCGUGCUUAACACAUGCGAGUCGAACGGAAAGGCCCUGCUUUUGUGGGGUGCUCGAGUGGCGAACGGGUGAGUAACACGUGAGUAACCUGCCCUUGACUUUGGUAUAACUUCAGGAAACUGGGGCUAAUACCGGAUAGGAGCUCCUGCUGCAUGGUGGGGGUUGGAAAGUUUCGGCGGUUGGGGAUGGACUCGCGGCUUAUCAGCUUGUUGGUGGGGUAGUGGCUUACCAAGGCUUUGACGGGUAGCCGGCCUGAGAGGGUGACCGGCCACAUUGGGACUGAGAUACGGCCCAGACUCCUACGGGAGGCAGCAGUGGGGAAUAUUGCACAAUGGGCGGAAGCCUGAUGCAGCAACGCCGCGUGCGGGAUGACGGCCUUCGGGUUGUAAACCGCUUUCGCCUGUGACGAAGCGUGAGUGACGGUAAUGGGUAAAGAAGCACCGGCUAACUACGUG
Molecule: ribosomal RNA, 468 nt
Filed under: uncultured bacterium
Lineage: Bacteria
Description: partial 16S ribosomal RNA
Rfam family: Bacterial small subunit ribosomal RNA
Source: RNAcentral